GACAGAGGCCUCAAGCGUUAGGCGGAAUUACUGGGCGUAAAGGGCGCGUAGGCGGAUAGUUUAGUCAGAGGUAAAAGCCCAGGGCUCAACCUUGGAACUGCCUUUGAUACUGGCUAUCUUGAGUUCGGGAGAGGUGAGUGGAAUGCCGAGUGUAGAGGUGAAAUUCGUAGAUAUUCGGCGGAACACCAGUGGCGAAGGCGACUCACUGGCCCGAUACUGACGCUGAGGCGCGAAAGCGUGGGGAGCAAACAGG
This 253-nucleotide ribosomal RNA is filed under the name uncultured bacterium. RNAcentral describes it as "partial 16S ribosomal RNA". It matches the Rfam family "Bacterial small subunit ribosomal RNA", at positions 524 to 776 of the family's 1533-position model. The record is from RNAcentral.